GAUCCUGGCUCAGGACGAACGCUGGCGGCGUGCCUAACACAUGCAAGUCGAACGGAGUUAAGAGAGCUUGCUCUUUUAACUUAGUGGCGGACGGGUGAGUAACGCGUGAGUAACCUGCCUUUCAGAGGGGAAUAACAUUCUGAAAAGAAUGCUAAUACCGCAUGAGAUCGUAGUAUCGCAUGGUACAGCGACCAAAGGAGCAAUCCGCUGAAAGAUGGACUCGCGUCCGAUUAG
RNAcentral lists this ribosomal RNA (234 nucleotides) under uncultured bacterium. Its description in RNAcentral is "partial 16S ribosomal RNA". It matches the Rfam family "Bacterial small subunit ribosomal RNA", at positions 15 to 244 of the family's 1533-position model. The record is from RNAcentral.